RNA transcript from Hylaeus volcanicus, 1456 nucleotides. RefSeq lists it as uncharacterized. The transcript has 4 exons. NCBI's taxonomy places the organism in Eukaryota, Metazoa, Arthropoda, Insecta, Hymenoptera, Colletidae. The record is from RefSeq and is a predicted model, not a curated record.
UAAUCAUUAAUGUUUUCUUUAUUUAAAUUUAUGUUUAUAGAUGCCACAAAGUAUGUGCUAUCUGGGGCUGCAGAAGCAACAAGAAGCGCAUGUUUCGGUUCCCCUGUCCGCUGAAAAAGAAAGACAGGUGCAUGCAGUGGAUAAUAGCUUCAAGAAGGGAGGAUUUUCUACAGCUUCCCCCGAAGGUAGUGAAUAACAAAGUGUUGUGCGAUAUUCAUUUUGAAGAUCGCUAUCGCUUCACGAAAAAUCUCACGAGGGACGCAAUACCAACCUGCAACUUACCAACACCUGCUGCAUCUGUCGAGCCACAGGAGGAAAUUGUAAUGGAAAUUACAGAAGGAGAAGAACUAUAGAUCUACCAGGACAGUUUGGUCCCAGGAUAACGUCAGACUAAAGAGCAGCAUGGGACUUCAGGACAACAUGAGACUUCAGAACAGUAUGGGACUUUAGGACAACAUGAGACUUCAGAACAGUAUGGGUCUUCAGGACAAUGUGAGACUACAGAACAGCAUGGGACUGAAAGGACAGCGUAGGACUGAAGGACAAUAUUGAACCUGGAACCAGUAAAGACUCCUGCGCACUUGCCUUUAAUGUGCUUCCUGGAUCAUCCAGAGAUUGUGCUGUCCAAAGGGGUCAACUCCAAGCAGCCAGCAGAGUAUGACCUUAAUAAAUGUUUAGAAUUUAGCUAUUUCGGCUUUUCGUAACAUUAGUUUUUUUAAAAGAAAGCUCGCUAGAUAGUAAACAUCCAAAGGUACUGCACAGUUGGAUUAGGACUCAUAAAAAUUUAAAAUUUUUAAAAUUUCAUCUGCGUGAUCUUGGUUUUGUUGAAUUUAUUACGCCUAAUUUGAAACAAGAUGCGCUUGAAAAUUUUUUCGGACAAAUAAGGCAACACGGUGUUCGUAAUACUAAUCCAACUUGCAGAGCCUUUCACUCAUACACAUAUAAGUCUACUUUCAAUUCUUGAUUUUUUAAAUUUGUGUUCUAUUUAUUGUACAUCAUUUUCUUAAUUACUAUUUUUUGUCAAUAAUUAAAACUCUGCUUUUUGUCAAUAUUCAUUUUUUACAUUUAUGUUGUCCAAGCCGAGGCUUGGGUGGGACCCAAUGGCACCAUCGUCUGUGAUGGGUGCCAUUGGACCUUCUCAGAAGUGGAGGCACAACAAUACGCACCAGCACAUGUACAUCGGCUGGUGCGAGAAGGUCGCCUGGCCCAUGCAGCGGCCCGCUGCCUGGAGUGCCGGAGACGGGCACUAAACAGAAGCAACCCGGAUCAUUGCCUGCAAUGUAUCGCAGCCAUCGCUGCGACACCAUGGGUCGAGCUGGCGGUGCGGCCCGUGAUACUAGUACCGUCGCACAGAACCCAGCCCCUUCCCCCAAGCCCCGAAUAAUAUUAUUAUUAUUUUAUAUUACUAUGUUAUAUAUAUUAUUUACUACAUAUAUAUUAUAUUAUCUCACCAUUA